ACACGAGUUCUUCUUGUUGUCUACAAUUCAGUCAUUUUGUGACUGAAGGGCAUUUCUCUCAGGAAAACCCCACUUCUUGUGUCAUAUACAAGUAAUUUAGAACAUUUAAUGUCCUCCAACUCACACACUGACCACAAUAUAUAUAUUUUUUUGUUGUAAUAUGUGGUCAGAGUUAAUGCUUGUAUUUUAGCUGGGGGUACUUCAGUCAAGUAGCCUGCUUUCGUCCAACUCGGGUCUUCUUGGGGCCCUAUCAAGCCUGUUUUCGAUAUCUCCCUCCUCGAACACACCUUGUAUCAAAUGAUUAGCUCAUCAACAAGGAAUCAAUCAGGUGUGUUGAUUGAGGUAUACAUCUAAAACGUGCUGGUUAGCAGCAUUCGAGGAUGGCGAUUGGAUUGUAUUCUUUGCUAUAUGCUAGCAAACCAACUGUUAGCAUUUUAGCAACAGUCAUUCACAACGAAGCCAUUGUAAGAUGUUAAACUUUGUUCAGGCCAGUUUAAAGUUUAAAAUAGGUCUCCAGGGACAAGCCUAAUUCAAAAAUUUGGUCUUUACAUUUUAUUAUUUUUGUCCAUAACAGCCCAUUAGUUAGUAGGAUGCAGAAUUGUUAGUUAGCCUGCAAUGGGUGAUCAAUACGAAUGGACAACUGGACUAAUCAAGUUGGGCCGCCAGGCAAAAUGAAGAUUUCUACUCAUUAGAAUUAAACACUUUUUCUUUUUAAAGCCUGUCAGUUUUAAAAGUGGUACAGUACCAGGAGUAAAUCUCAUCAAGCUUCCUUGUCACAACCAAACUGAAGUCAAAAACAUGUCAAUCACUCUGAAUUGCCUUAAUUGACCUGCGUAUCAUUUGACUCGGUUCCUUCCAGCCUCUUUUGAGACCUAAAAAGAAGCCUUAAUCAUGCAGAUUCAAAAUAUCAAUGACAGCACGCGGCACAUGAAUAACCUCUUUCUCUUUGCAUAAAUCACUUCGUAAAUCCGAAAGUGGCAACUCAACAGUGAGCAUGACGUGGUACGAAGAUGGAACGGAGACUUAUUGUCUACCAACAAGGUUAUGCGAGAAGAUCCUGACUCCGUGGGGGAAAAAGGAAGUCAUCCAAGUUAGCUUUCACAAAGUACACCGAUGUAUAACGACAGCCACAUCUGCUUUUUUUGUUCAUAUGUCCCGUCUCUGUGUCACGUACACCAGCUCACACACUUCCUCCACUAUCUUUUUUUUAUUGAUUCUUAAUGUAAAGCAUUUAGGCGAUUUUUGGAAAGCGCUAAGUAAAAUGUGUUCAAUGAUCAUGGCAUUUUCUGUACUUAACCUGAGCACCGAGGAAAAAAGUAUCAUGUAGUUGACCCACAAGAGUACGGGACAUAGAUUCAUUGAAUCACAGGUCAAAUAGCUUAAAAUUAGUU
Long non-coding RNA from Hippocampus zosterae (dwarf seahorse), 1391 nucleotides. RefSeq lists it as uncharacterized. The transcript is spliced from 2 exons. NCBI's taxonomy places the organism in Eukaryota, Metazoa, Chordata, Actinopteri, Syngnathiformes, Syngnathidae. The record is from RefSeq and is a predicted model, not a curated record.